Molecule: long non-coding RNA, 96 nt
Organism: Myotis davidii
Lineage: Eukaryota; Metazoa; Chordata; Mammalia; Chiroptera; Vespertilionidae
Exons: 3
Source: RefSeq, a predicted model, not a curated record
GGAAAUUGUUUCUCCAUGAGGAGAAUCAUUUCAGAGCUCUGUGGACUUCAUCUUCAAAAAUAGCCAAAUAAUUCGAGAGAAAAUGAGUUUAUCCCA